ACGUAAAUAUAUCGAUCUCCCUCGAUCCUCUCAGGUUUACUCCACGCCAAAAGCGGGUGUGCUAGCACUAGCUUGCUGGAUCUCGUACCUUCUCUCAAACCACCCAAAACCCGACAAAUCUCUCCCCCAAAACGACGUUGUGUGUCUUCCGUAGACGCCAAUGGGCCAAUUGGCAACCUCAUGGUUUGCUGGAAGUUUACAUUGCUUUGAACUGGCCACCAGAUGGCCACCAUAUGGUUCCGGUGAACUGUUCGGAGCCAGGUAAGGUUCUUGCAAUCUGUGGGCGAGUGCUUUCUUUUGUUCUCCCCACGCGGCCUCCUCUACCCUCGCGGCCUAACGUUUUGCCUGGAACCCCUUUUACGAGCCUACGUACUCUGCUUGUGCAUACGUUUACGUUACGUGUACUACUGUACCAUACUCUACGUACUGUUCUUGUUUUACGUUUUGCUUUCUGUUUUUGGGCUGGUGCCUCCCUUAUAGUAUUGUGUAUCGGCUUUUACCGUUCUCAACCUCAAUGUUUAUACUUUUCAAUGUAGGCCCCACAAUGUGUGGCCCUCCGUAGUGCCAGACAUUCCGUUCGUAGUACCAAACAUGAUAUGAAGAGUACUUUCGAGUAUUAUAAGUAGUCAAACGACUUCGAUUUGUUGAUUCGUGAAAUUUUCCUCUAUAGGAACGUUAAAACAGCGAAAUACCACUCUAUUGGAUCUCUUCAUGGCUACACAUACACGUUUGGACUUUCGAUGUUUAUGUCCUCCAAGAAGAGUGCACUUUCUAAUCAGAGAGAGAAACUAAAUAAAAUUAAGGGUAAAUACAGUCUUUGGUUUAUUACAUGACUUAACUUCACAACAUGACGAUUAGUUAAUCAAGUAGUUCGUCACCACGCGUAACCGUACGUCACUACCAACUAAAUUCUACCUUCUUCUCGUCUCGCAAAUGAAUUCACCUAUUUAUUUGUUGUCCUUUACGUCCGAAAAGAGGAUUGAUAAAUUGAUAGCGGUUUUCAAGUCAAAACUAUAUAGUAGAUGGCUUGAUAGUAAAAAACACGUGGAUAAAAACAAAGGAGACAAAGACUUGGUUCACGUAGUCACACAUCAACCCAAAUUGUAAAAUAAAACAACGAAUCUACGGAGACAAAACCAAACAAAGAUGGUAAUAUCUGUACUAUCUAAGAUAAUUAUGUGGGAGAAAUACCAUCACGUCAAGUAAGCGAAACCUACUGUUUUUUUUUACUCUUGCUUUUAUACGAGGGUUUGUUACGAAGUCUAGGAUUUGUCCACGUCCAACAAGUUCGUUAAAUGCUACAGCCCCUUCGUUCUUGAGUACCAAAUGCCUCCAGAUAUAAACUCUCCAAACUGGCACUGGCUUCACCAUUUUAACUAUUUAGUCUCUGCCCGCGACGAGAAGAGUCAUACCCAUUAAGUCAAAGAGGUUGACACGAUCUGAGUGAGCACAGAUUUAAGCUGUCCUAACCCUGUACUCGUUUCGUCAGCUUAUACUGUUGAAAUAACUCACAACGGAAUGUCAUUUCCAUAAAAGGUAGUAAUAUGAUGUCUUUCUUUAUCUAAUAUCAAACCACGCGAUAACGAUACAGGCGGAGUGGAAAGAUGAGCCGUCGUAUAACGGGGCCGGACGCCCGUGACAGUCGAACUACCUACUACUACUAAAUUAUCAGUUCCCCGAAGGUGUCGAGAGACGGUAGACACAAUGGUAAUCGUCUUCCAUAUACGAGCUUCUUCGAUAGUUCGCCUAGCCACCAUGUUAAGUACGUAAGUUUGAAUGACUACUACUACUGUGGUGUCCUUACCGUAGUCACUUUUAGUUAGAGGUCGGGGUGUCGUUUUCGUACAACGGUUGGGUUAUCCACAAGAAACCUCUUAGUUGAGUCGAACGGCCGCUACGAUAACUUAGUUGUUCAAGACAACGAAACCGGAUAGACCACUGGUACCCGUAUCAAUGUUAUCUGCUAAGGUUGAGCCGCCUAACCAGUAGUAUACUAACACGUCUUAGGAAAGUCUUAGUCGAGCGGAGGAACUGGCGCUGUUUUUUCCCGGAGUAAGUCUCUCGCCGCUACCAUCGUCAGGUCGUGGAUUUACACAGUUGCUUAAUCUCUUACCGGAGUUGCUGUGACGGCCGAGCGACGGUGGUUUGCUUCUUUGUAGUUUGUUACUUUGCCUAGUGUCCGGGUCGUUCUUUUGUUUCAUACUGUACCUUUCGAACCGAGUACUUGUUUCGGCCUUCCGAGCGUGAUCAGUUCAGCCACGACUCACGAUAGGGUCAGGUGGUCGACGAGCGGAAACGGGGCGGGUUCUUCUGUGAUUUCGUCGAGCUCUUUUAGGUCGCCCCGAAAAACACCCGGCCGGCGCGUCAGCGGUUGCCUCCUUUGACAGUACAGUUAACCACGGCGCGGACGGCGGGGCACCUUAUACCACCGGAACCCUAGGCUCUGGACCUCGCGCGUCCGGAACGUGAUGCCGACGCUACCUACACCGAGCGGGCGUGCCUGUGCCUGGCGCGCACCGUUCCGGAACUAGAGGUCAAGAGGUUCCUCCUCGCACGUGACAAGAAACGUAGGUGAUGAUACUACGAGCCGCUACCGGCCUGUUGUGAGAAGAUCCUGCUGGCUACCUAGUCGCCGGUUAGACAGGCGCUCUAACGGGGGACGAUAUGGUUACGUAUGGGUUCGUCGCUGCGUUCUGUGCUUGUCACCGGCUACCUGAGUUGCCCUUGUGAACCCGGGCUCUGUAGGUUCCUUGGUAGCCCUAUGUGCUCUAACCGGUUAUGGACUACGAUACCGUCCGCUAUGUCGUGAAGUGGGAUAGCCUUCUUUGACUGGCUGACGAAACCUCUACCUGUUGUUCGCGAUGUAUAAGCUGGGUUAGAACGAUACGUCGGUGGAAGGUCCCUAGAUGUACGGCGGUGAGCACCUUCGACUAAACCUUCUCAACCCGCGGUGGGGCGCAGUUUAAGAAGGUGACCGAACGGAUGGUCCUGGCUACAACCUGCCGCUGUUCUGAACGGUCGGCGCCGGACAUCGUGGUGGGAUCCACGGAGGAGACGCUAGUUCUGGGCCUCUGGUAGGUUGUGGACGAUGACUGUACGGGCAAACGAUUCGUCUAGACCGUGGCGUGGGAUCUGACCUGCGUGUAGGGACGGGUUUGCGGCCGGUUACUGUGGUGGAACUACCUGACCACCGACGCCCGCUUCCGCGUUUGGGGAGGUUGCGACGUGUUUCGAGACGUUAGCUAGUGUGACGAGCAAGGGACCUACUAGACCUUUGUCUCCUUGCUCACGCAGAAACUGUUACGUUCUGGUAGCUAUCUACGCGAUCAACUAUCCUAAUUUCUGCUCCGGUUAACAACCCGUGUUCGACCCCGUAUCCCCGACGUUCAUCAGAACGGGCGGAGGACCCUACAGGUGACUAGCCUCCUCGAUCCUGGGACAUUUAUAUUGGAGGAUCCUCCGUACAUGAAAGGGUGGAAAAGUUACGUUACUUUGCGUUUUAGCGAAACGCAAAAGA
This 3517-nucleotide ribosomal RNA is filed under the name Triticum aestivum (bread wheat). Its description in RNAcentral is "partial small subunit ribosomal RNA". The record is from RNAcentral. Lineage: Eukaryota; Viridiplantae; Streptophyta; Magnoliopsida; Poales; Poaceae.